This 404-nucleotide ribosomal RNA is filed under the name uncultured Fimbriimonas sp. RNAcentral's name for it is "bacterial SSU rRNA". It matches the Rfam family "Bacterial small subunit ribosomal RNA", at positions 355 to 774 of the family's 1533-position model. RNAcentral also lists the same sequence under 1 other name. Lineage: Bacteria; Bacillati; Armatimonadota; Fimbriimonadia; Fimbriimonadales; Fimbriimonadaceae. The record is from RNAcentral.
UUGGGAAUCUUGCACAAUGGGGGCAACCCUGAUGCAGCGACGCCGCGUGGAGGAUGAAGGGUCUAGGCCUGUAAACUCCUUUUCUCGGGAAAGACUUAGGACGGUACCCGAGGAAUAAGCCCCGGCUAACUACGUGCCAGCAGCCGCGGUAAGACGUAGGGGGCGAGCGUUGUCCGGAUUUACUGGGCGUAAAGCGCGCGUAGGCGGUCCGUUAAGUGCACAAGUGAAAGCUCCAGGCUCAACUUGGAAAUUGCUUUGCAUACUGGCGGGCUGGAGGGACGCAGAGGUCUGUGGAAUUCCUGGUGUAACGGUGAAAUGUGUUGAUAUCAGGAGGAACACCCAUGGCGAAGGCAGCAGACUGGGCGUUUCCUGACGCUGAGGCGCGAAAGCGUGGGUAGCAAACA